This 253-nucleotide ribosomal RNA is filed under the name uncultured bacterium. Its description in RNAcentral is "partial 16S ribosomal RNA". It matches the Rfam family "Bacterial small subunit ribosomal RNA", at positions 524 to 776 of the family's 1533-position model. The record is from RNAcentral.
GACAGAGGUCCCGAGCGUUAGGCGGAAUCACUGGGCUUAAAGCGUGCGUAGGCGGAUGCCUAAGUACCUUGUGAAAUCCCACGGCUCACCCGUGGAACUGCUCGGUAUACUGGGUGUCUUGAGCCACUUAGGGGCUACCGGAACAAAUGGUGGAGCGGUGAAAUGCGUAGAUAUCAUUUGGAACGCCAAUGGUGAAACCAGGUAGCUGGGAGUGUGCUGACGCUGAGACACGAAAGCCAGGGGAGCAAACCGG